This 591-nucleotide ribosomal RNA is filed under the name Orthospinus franciscensis. Its description in RNAcentral is "partial 16S large subunit ribosomal RNA". It matches the Rfam family "Bacterial large subunit ribosomal RNA", at positions 1808 to 2609 of the family's 2925-position model. Lineage: Eukaryota; Metazoa; Chordata; Actinopteri; Characiformes; Acestrorhamphidae. The record is from RNAcentral.
CAAAAACAUCGCCUCCUGCAAAAAUCAAUGUAUAAGAGGUCCUACCUGCCCAGUGACUUAGUUAAACGGCCGCGGUAUUUUGACCGUGCAAAGGUAGCGCAAUCACUUGUCUUUUAAAUAAAGACCUGUAUGAAUGGUGAAACGAGGGCUUAACUGUCUCCCUUUUCUGAUCAGUGAAAUUGAUCUACCCGUGCAGAAGCGGGUAUAAAUAUACAAGACGAGAAGACCCUAUGGAGCUUUAGACAGAAGGUCAUCUAUGUUAAAAACCCCAGAUAAAGGGAUAAAACAAAAUAGUAACUGACUAACGUCUUCGGUUGGGGCGACCACGGGGGAAAACAAAUCCCCCACGUGGAUUGGGAAAUCUCCCUAAAACCAUGAGGUACACCUCUAAGUCACAGUACUUCUGACCUAAAGAUCCGGCACUUAGCCGAUCAACGAACCAAGUUACCCUAGGGAUAACAGCGCAAUCCCCUCCAAGAGUCCUUAUCGACAAGGGGGUUUACGACCUCGAUGUUGGAUCAGGACAUCCUAAUGGUGCAGCCGCUAUUAAGGGUUCGUUUGUUCAACGAUUAAAGUCCUACGUGAUCUGAG